UGAGUAACCUGCCCUUCACUCUGGGAUAACUCCGGGAAACCGGGGCUAAUACUGGAUAUGACUCGAACAGGCAUCUGUUUCGGGUGGAAAGAUUUAUUGGUGGAGGAUGGACUCGCGGCCUAUCGGCUUGUUGGUGAGGUAAUGGCUCACCAAGGCGACGACGGGUAGCCGGCCUGAGAGGGCGAUCGGCCACACUGGGACUGAGACACGGCCCAGACCUCCGUACGGGGAGCA
This 234-nucleotide ribosomal RNA is filed under the name uncultured bacterium. Its description in RNAcentral is "partial 16S ribosomal RNA". It matches the Rfam family "Bacterial small subunit ribosomal RNA", at positions 118 to 350 of the family's 1533-position model. The record is from RNAcentral.